This 255-nucleotide long non-coding RNA is filed under the name Elaeis guineensis (African oil palm). RNAcentral describes it as "long non-coding RNA (EGUI_LNC001355)". Lineage: Eukaryota; Viridiplantae; Streptophyta; Magnoliopsida; Arecales; Arecaceae. The record is from RNAcentral.
UUUAUCUCAUGUAAUGACCCGUUAGAAGUUUUGGCAGAAGAAUUAUACAUUUGUGCUAUUUUUUAGGAGUCUCAUGCAUGCCAAAAUGCUGGUUAAGGUAAAUAAGAACUGUUGCGGCCAAUCCCCCAUCGUCCGAUCGUCGAUGUCGCACACCUGCAAGAAAAGUUCUCACUAAUCGGAGAUGUCUCCGACGGAAAUCCUCCGACAGUCAAGUCAGAGAGGAGACCAGGCAACAGUGGAACUCAGCGAAAGGGG